This 65-nucleotide transfer RNA is filed under the name Lopheros rubens. RNAcentral describes it as "tRNA-Gly". Lineage: Eukaryota; Metazoa; Arthropoda; Insecta; Coleoptera; Lycidae. The record is from RNAcentral.
AUUUAUAUAGUAUAAAAAUUAUUUUUAAUUUCCAAUUAAAAGAUUUAAGUAAUUUAAUAUAAAUA